GUGCAAGAAAGCAGAAAACAAGUAUGGGGGAGAUCCCUCGACAUGCUAAACACACUCCGACUACACCACUCCACGAUUCAGGUACACACUCUGCACACUUUACUCUACACAUAUAUAUAUAUUAGAUUAUGUAGAAUAUUGUUCCCGACAUGAUAAAAUAAAAAGAUUAAAAUAUUUCUAAUCAUGAUUAAUCUCAAUCUGUGAUAUUUCCUGAAAACUUGCAAUUAGUAUAAAAUCAUUUUUUAAAACCCUGUGUUACUUAAGUCAAGAUGGAAUAUGUGAUGGUAGAGUAUGAGUUUCUUAUUCUUGAUAUCAUUGUUGCUUGGAGAAUUUAUUUCAAAAUGUUCAAAUUCCUAGCUACCAUCCUCAGUGUUUUAUAUGCCUGAUAAAACUGAAAUAUUAAAUAUGAUUAUAAAAGCUAUUUGCUCUGUAUUGAGUUUGUUCAAAAUGAGUUAGACCCUUGUUGAGAGAUUUAUCAUGCUCCUAAGAUCAAGACAUUAUUUCAGUAAGAUUCACUCUUCCGAAGUAUUAUUGCAUUAGAGGCAUGGGCUAUGCAAAAAUAGAAGAUAUUUCGAGGAAAUAAAAAGGAGCAAGUGCUCGACAACCUCGCAGAAAAAAUGGACAAGUGUCCAGCAGUAGAAUUAGGGGUACCUCGGUAUCCACUUAAAAAAAAGAGAAAAAAAAUGAUAGCCCAUGGUCCCUCUAAUAAGCAAUAUGCCAGCAAGAGUUGACAAAGUUUUUAAUUUCCAAAGUCUUUGAUCUAAGAGUAUGACAUUUCCCUCCUCGGAUCCCGUUUUGAUCAGGCAAUAAAUCCAAAGUAAGUAUGCUUGAGAAUUUUUGCAAAAUAAAACAGCCUCAGUGAGAUAUAUAUAUAAAAGAUAAUGAGUGAUCUGAGAGAACCUAUGAGGAUCAAAAAGGUAUGCUAACUUUCUUUCAAAAAUAUACAAAAACUCCAAGUGACAGGAUUGAAAAGAAAGAAUCUAUACACUUAACCAUACACAUCCCUGACUAUGGUACACAGUGGAAUUUUUAACACCCUGCAAUUAUAAAGAGAAUGUUUUAAAUGUUUACCCCAGAUAUUAUUCUUAACCAUCCUUUUCUCGAGGAUGAGUAAAAGCCUAAGUAUGGGGGUAUUUGUUGAUGGUUCUUAAGUAUCAAUUUUAAUUAUCAAAUAAACAUGAGAAAGGACCAAUAUGCAACCAUCACCUAGAAUUAGGGUUUGAUCUGACAGAAUUCCACGAGUUUUGUUGUUUAUCUAUUUCUGCAGGGGGUUAUCAGGAAAUAAGGAAGAAAGGCCCACAUGUCGGGAUUACAUAGAGAUAUCAACGCACCGCGUAAUUUUACAUCAUCUAGAAGACUCCAGAAGCCACGAGACCGAAGCGGAGGCAAAGCUGGGCCAGGCCCAGGGCGCCCGCCCUGGUAGCCUGGGCGCCCGCCCCCCUGCUGGAGUCAAUUCAGGACUCCUUCGCUCGGGAUAUUCCACCGACCUAUUGGAUCAAGAAAAACAUAGUACCACCUCGGCUAUCGACCCAAAAACACAUAGAAGGGGAGGACUAUAUAAGCGAGGCCCCCCUGGCCCCUGGAAGACAUGAAGAAAUUAUCAUAGAGACUGAGGGGUGCCCUCGAAGGAAAACCUCUUCUCUAAUUAAUAUUUCUUUUUAGGCUUAGCAAUCAAUGUAAGGUAGAAAUAGAUCUUCUAGUUUCUACUAGAUCGAGAGAUAUAGAGUGGAGGUGUAGAG
RNAcentral lists this long non-coding RNA (1739 nucleotides) under Sorghum bicolor (sorghum). RNAcentral describes it as "long non-coding RNA (SBIC_LNC004826)". Lineage: Eukaryota; Viridiplantae; Streptophyta; Magnoliopsida; Poales; Poaceae. The record is from RNAcentral.